RNAcentral lists this long non-coding RNA (289 nucleotides) under Nicotiana benthamiana. RNAcentral's name for it is "long non-coding RNA (NBEN_LNC014211)". Lineage: Eukaryota; Viridiplantae; Streptophyta; Magnoliopsida; Solanales; Solanaceae. The record is from RNAcentral.
GAGGUCAGGGGAGUGUUGGUAUCAAUUUUGGGGUUGUUUGGUAUAGUUUGUGUUUUGUCUCAAAUAUUUGAUUGAAGAUUCGAAAAGAUGCAGCUUGAUUCGAUCCAAGAGAGUGGUAAAUUUGGGUUAGGGGUGUGAAGGGGGUUUUGUGGUGUUAAGGAGUUGGUCGGCGGCGUAGUUGCCGCCGGGUUUUUAGGUGGAGGGUGCCAUGGUGGCUAGGGUUUAGUGAGGGAGACGGUCUGUCUCUUGCGAGACACGAUGAUAGUGAGUGGAUGUUUGGUUAGGGGGG